GACGAACGCUGGCGGCGUGCUUAACACAUGCAAGUCGAACGGUGAGGCCCAGCAUUUGUGGGGUGCUCGAGUGGCGCACGGCUGAGUAACACGUGAGUAACCUGUAAUUGACUUUGGGCUAACUUCUGGCAAAUGGGGCUAAUACCGGAUCGGAGAUCAUGAUGCAUGGAGGGGUUUGGAAAGUAUCGGAGGUGGGGGAUGGCAUCGCGGCUGAUCAGUUUGGUCGGUGGGUAGUGGCUUACCAAGGCUUUGACGGGUCGCCGGCCUGAGAGGGGGAGAUGACACAUUGGAAUGGAACUGCGGCCCGGACUCCUACCGUAGGCAGCAGUGGGGAAGAUAGUACAAUGGGCGGAAGCCUGAUGCAGCAACGCCGCGUGCGGUAUGACGGCCAGCGGUUUGUAAACUACAGUCGCCUGUUAUGAAGCGAGAGUGACGGUAAUAGGGAAAGAAGCACCGGCUAACUACGUG
RNAcentral lists this ribosomal RNA (468 nucleotides) under uncultured bacterium. Its description in RNAcentral is "partial 16S ribosomal RNA". It matches the Rfam family "Bacterial small subunit ribosomal RNA", at positions 28 to 507 of the family's 1533-position model. The record is from RNAcentral.